RNAcentral lists this unclassified non-coding RNA (295 nucleotides) under Hevea brasiliensis (rubber tree). The record is from RNAcentral. Lineage: Eukaryota; Viridiplantae; Streptophyta; Magnoliopsida; Malpighiales; Euphorbiaceae.
UUUUAUUUGAGCUUCAUAAUUGCCGCAAUUAGGCGUUAGUUUCUCCAUUAUCACACAAACCGUCAAUGGCGGGUGACAACGGAAACAAGCAGAAUGGAACUUCUUUUGAUCUCAAUGACUUCACCAUCAUCAAAGAAGGAGAUGCUGAGAUUCUUAUGCAUGCCAAAAAUGAAGUUUUCUACAACAAUUCCCAGGUGAAUAAUAGAGACAUGUCUAUAGCUGUUUUGAGGACAUUUAUAUCACAACGAAAGCUAGAACAUGACGCAAUGUUAGCUAGACGAACCAAGGCUGGAAA